CUAGAGANAGGACUUUNCCUUCNGGGACNAAGUGACAGGUGGUGCAUGGUUGUCGUCAGCUCGUGUCGUGAGAUGUUGGGUUAAGUCCCGCAACGAGCGCAACCCCUAUUGUUAGUUGCCAGCAUUCAGUUGGGCACUCUAAUGAGACUGCCGGUGACAAACCGGAGGAAGGUGGGGAUGACGUCAAAUCAUCAUGCCCCUUAUGACCUGGGCUACACACGUGCUACAAUGGAUGGUACAACGAGCAGCAAGACCGCGAGGUCRAGCGAAUCUCUUAAAGCCAUUCUCARUUCGGAUUGCAGGCUGCAACUCGCCUGCAUKWAGCCGGAAUCGCUAGUAAUCGCGGAUCARCACGCCGCGGUGAAUACGUUCYCGGGUCUUGUACACAC
This 389-nucleotide ribosomal RNA is filed under the name uncultured bacterium. RNAcentral's name for it is "partial 16S ribosomal RNA". It matches the Rfam family "Bacterial small subunit ribosomal RNA", at positions 1000 to 1390 of the family's 1533-position model. The record is from RNAcentral.